Molecule: small nucleolar RNA, 144 nt
Organism: Acomys russatus (golden spiny mouse)
Lineage: Eukaryota; Metazoa; Chordata; Mammalia; Rodentia; Muridae
Product: small nucleolar RNA SNORA48
Exons: 1
Source: RefSeq, a predicted model, not a curated record
UACCCUCUAGGAAAUGAGCAGAGACACCUUGUUGGGAGUGGUGUUCUUAUAUCAGUCAGGGGCAGAACAGAUGCUGGUCCUUUAUUCAUCUUAGCUUGAUGCCUGGCUUGGUAGCCAAAGCUGUUCCAUGCCUAGGACAUAUAA